Molecule: long non-coding RNA, 299 nt
Organism: Lingula anatina
Lineage: Eukaryota; Metazoa; Brachiopoda; Lingulata; Lingulida; Lingulidae
Source: RefSeq, a predicted model, not a curated record
ACUUCUUGGAGUGGUGACCGUGGUUUCGUGGAUUUUGUACAAACCAAACCCUAGUUACUUCGGUGAAGUUUUACAGUGGCUGGUCCGGUUUGCAAUUGUUGGACCGAUCAUCAUAUAUCCGGUGUUAUAUGGAAUCUAUUGUCUUAUUGUGAGACCAAAAGACAAAACUUUCAUUCGUCCUCAGCGGGAUUGGGGUCCUUCUCUCGUGACACAUCGCCACCUAGUGACGUACGAUCCGGCCUUCGUGGUGGAUCCUUACCACGAGGAGAUGUACUUGACAACGCGCAACGCAAAAGAAU